This 505-nucleotide ribosomal RNA is filed under the name uncultured bacterium. RNAcentral describes it as "bacterial SSU rRNA". It matches the Rfam family "Bacterial small subunit ribosomal RNA", at positions 21 to 518 of the family's 1533-position model. The record is from RNAcentral.
GGCUCAGGAUGAACGCUAGCGAUAGGCUUAACACAUGCAAGUCGAGGGGCAGCACGGUGUAGCAAUACACUGGUGGCGACCGGCGUACGGGUGCGUAACACGUAUGCAACCUACCCGCUAUUGGGGGAUAACCCGGCGAAAGUCGGACUAAUAUCCCAUAUUAUUCUUACCGGGCAUCCGGUGAGUCUGAAAGAUUUAUCGAUUGCGGAUGGGCAUGCGGAUGAUUAGCUAGUAGGUGGGGUAACGGCUCACCUAGGCGACGAUCAUUAGGGGUUCUGAGAGGAAGGUCCCCCACACUGGAACUGAGACACGGUCCAGACUCCUACGGGAGGCAGCAGUGAGGAAUAUUGGUCAAUGGGCGCUAGCCUGAACCAGCCAAGUCGCGUGAAGGAUGACAGAAUCUAUGGUUUGUAAACUUCUUUUGCAGGGGAGUAAAGUGCGACACGUGUGUUGUAUUGCAAGUACCCUGCGAAUAAGCAUCGGCUAACUCCGUGCCAGCAGCUGC